This 26-nucleotide non-coding RNA is filed under the name Bombyx mori (domestic silkworm). Lineage: Eukaryota; Metazoa; Arthropoda; Insecta; Lepidoptera; Bombycidae. The record is from RNAcentral.
AGUUACAAUAGAUGCUUCGGGAAUGG